RNAcentral lists this ribosomal RNA (305 nucleotides) under uncultured bacterium. Its description in RNAcentral is "partial 16S ribosomal RNA". It matches the Rfam family "Bacterial small subunit ribosomal RNA", at positions 506 to 808 of the family's 1533-position model. The record is from RNAcentral.
ACAGCAGUAGCCGCGGUAAUACGUAGGUCCCGAGCGUUGUCCGGAUUUAUUGGGCGUAAAGCGAGCGCAGGCGGUUAGAUAAGUCUGAAGUUAAAGGCUGUGGCUUAACCAUAGUACGCUUUGGAAACUGUUUAACUUGAGUGCAAGAGGGGAGAGUGGAAUUCCAUGUGUAGCGGUGAAAUGCGUAGAUAUAUGGAGGAACACCGGUGGCGAAAGUGGCUCUCUGGCUUGUAACUGACGCUGAGGCUCGAAAGCGUGGGGAGCAAACAGGAUUAGAUACCCCCGUAGUCCCUGUCUCUUAUACA